GAUGUACACUAAGCGACCCUCAGCUGUGUGGGACCAGCCCUGCCAACUUCCAUCGUGGGCUCAGCUGCAGCUGCCACCUGCACACGGUGCGGGAAAGCAGCGAUGGCAACCUUUCACCGUGCCCACGCCACCAGCAGCGUGAAACCCAGGGCCAGACGUCACCAGGAGCCUAAUUCAGGCGAUUGGCCCGGCAGCUACAGGGCGGGAACUUGCUGCUCAGCCAUCGGAUUUAGGCUGCUGCACAGUCCCCAGCACUGGCGACCUCGUUCUCUGGGCGCAGGGCAAGGAAGAGAGGACCCCAGUUGGGAGGGUGGUGCACUCGGAGACCUGAAGGCCCUCUGGGACCAGCCUUGCCAGCCUCCGCCUUGGGUUCAGCUGCAGCUGUCAUCUGCAUAUGUCGCGCGGCCGCAGGGGUGGCAACCCUCAACGCUGCCCGAGCCACCAGCAGCGCGGACCCCUGGCCAGAUGCCCCAGCAGCGCCUAAUUCGGGCGGCCGGCCCUUCAGCUGCAGGAGGGGGGAACCAGUGGCUCAGCCCCAUGUAGGCGGCUGCACAGUGCCCAACACUCAAGAGCUCGCGCUCAAAAGAGGGCAAGGGAGGAGCAGCUGCAGGGGGCAGCGUCGUUAGGCGGGCCCUGAGACAGCUGGGACCGCGCGCUCCGCUCUAGGGAGCUCGGCCAGUCCACAGGCGUCUCAGCAGCAGCUGCCACCUGCAUGCGGUGCCGGCGAGUGCUCGGCUCAGGGCGGUUUCUGGCCACACGCAGUUUCUGGCCACGCGCAAGGCGGUUGCCUUUUGAGGUCCCAUGGGCGCUGGGGCCCAACUGCUCUGCUCCGUAUAUUAUUUAUUCUCCGAGAGGUUGGAGACGUCCCUGUCCGAGAAGUUGGAGGGUCCCUGUCUGAGGUCUGGGCCAGACUGCCUUGCUUUCUGGUGCUGGGCCGGAUGGGGGCGGGGUGGGGGCUGGCUGGGGGAAGGGCGAGGGCGAGUUGUGGCGUCUCUGAAGCCAAUAGCUGGGCCAUGAAGAUGAUCUUGGCUGUGGAGAGCCAGAAGGGCCAGGUGCGCCUGAGCUCCUGGAGUAACUGCAUAUUCUCUAACCCCUUGUACCAGACCCCAGAUGAGGAUGUCGGGAUGAUACACAAAGCUGCGUCCAGGGGAACACGUGGGAGCUGCAGCGGAGGCUCCCGCUGAAGAGAAAAGACCAGUCUGAAAUCUACAAGAACAGAGAAUUAUUCCAAAUCAAUAUGAAAAUACCUCUAAAACUGGGCAAAGUACCUUUUCCAGCUCUGCAAGUCACCUAUGCACAUAGGAAAAAAUACUUAAUGUGUCUGAUAAGAGAAGGAAUUUAAUUUAAAAAAGGAAUGAAAUGCCGUUUUCUAUCCUAAGUUUGUGAGGAUGAGGAGCAGUGAUAUUUACACUUCUGCUUAAAGUUAAGUUGCUGAUGACUUUUCAAAAAGACAAUUUGGUGGAUGGCUCCACAUUUGGCCUGUGCCAAUGGCUGCCCAGAAGUGGUAACUUUUCUGGUGCACAGAAAAUGCCAGCUUAACAUCCGUGACAGUGAAAACAAGACACCUCUAACGAAGGCUAUAACAUGCCAAGAAGAUGUGAAACUAUUCUGCUAGACCUUGGUGCUGAUCCAAAUAUUACCGAUGUCUAUGGCAACACUGCUCUCCAUAUGCUGUCUAUAAUGAGAAUAUGUCAAUGGUAGCAAAACUGUUUUCACACAAGACAAACAUCGAAGUGAAAAACAAUGUAGAGCAACCAAUGUUAUUUUCAAAAUAUUUGAAAUCCACUUGUUUUAACACUGACAUAUGUAAGGGUCAGUUUUUCCUAUUUGGAAGCUUAAGCAAUCCCUGAAUAAAAAUAAUUUGAAAUAA
Molecule: long non-coding RNA, 1870 nt
Filed under: Pan troglodytes (chimpanzee)
Lineage: Eukaryota; Metazoa; Chordata; Mammalia; Primates; Hominidae
Description: lincRNA
Source: RNAcentral